CGCGCCCGCAAAGUCCCGCAAACAGAAAAAUUAGAGCAAACCUGGUUACAGAUUGAGUCAGAUUUAAAGAAGAGCUAGUACAAUUUGUUGUCCCGCAACCCGCCCCACUUGCAGCCCUAUAUCAAACCUUGAGCAAGCUUUGGAGAAGUACCCCAGAGAUUUCAAUAGGUGGGAUGCAUACAUGCAGCAACUAUGAUCUGCAUUGGUGCUUCUAGGAUGAAGAGUGAAUGCAUGUCAUUCAAAGAUAACUGUGGGAAAGGAAAUGUUGAAGGUAUCUUUACUACUAUCUGCCGGAAACUGAGAAGCAUGAGAGGAUCUGAUGCUGCUGGAAUAGGCGCUUUUGAUCUUUAUAUAUUACAGAACAUAAAGAAGAUCAGCAAAGGAUGAAAAGCUGACAUAAAAUAUUUGCUGUAUUUCAGAGCAUGCUGAAGCAAGGUGAUUCUGAAAGAUUGGUAAUAUUAGCAGAUUAUGGAUGGCACUGAUUUCUACCCUGACGAUGACGAAGACCUGAGCCGCAAGCAUAAGUUUAAGACCUGGCGUGGCAAGAUCGACGGCACAGGUCCCGGUCUUUAUGGCGAGGCAUGAUCGAAAUUUGCUAUGAUCCUUUUCUCUGGUGUUUACUUUAGUUUUACAAUGUUCCGAACUAGAGUUUCGUACUACAAAGUCUUUACUUUAGUUUAUAAUGUUUCGAACAGAGUUUGUCAUUUUGUCCGAUCGAGAAAUCUGGCGUGUUAUAAUCUUUAUCUUGUAUGAUUCAAAAUACUCUUUAUGCUA
This is a long non-coding RNA of Lolium perenne, 774 nucleotides long. RefSeq lists it as uncharacterized. The record is from RefSeq and is a predicted model, not a curated record. Lineage: Eukaryota; Viridiplantae; Streptophyta; Magnoliopsida; Poales; Poaceae.